RNAcentral lists this transfer RNA (64 nucleotides) under Stylotermes sp. TW5238. RNAcentral describes it as "tRNA-Asp". Lineage: Eukaryota; Metazoa; Arthropoda; Insecta; Blattodea; Stylotermitidae. The record is from RNAcentral. RNAcentral also lists the same sequence under 3 other names.
AAAGGAUUAGUUAAAAUAUAACAUCAGAAUGUCAAACUGAAAUAACUUAACAAAGUAUCCUUUU